This 560-nucleotide ribosomal RNA is filed under the name uncultured bacterium. Its description in RNAcentral is "bacterial SSU rRNA". It matches the Rfam family "Bacterial small subunit ribosomal RNA", at positions 24 to 596 of the family's 1533-position model. The record is from RNAcentral.
UCAGGAUGAACGCUGGCGGCGUGCCUAAUACAUGCAAGUCGAGCGAACCACUUCGGUGGUGAGCGGCGAACGGGUGAGUAACACGUAGGUGAUCUGCCCAUCAGACGGGGACAACGAUUGGAAACGAUCGCUAAUACCGGAUAGGACGAAAGUUUAAAGGUGCUUCUGGCACCGCUGAUGGAUGAGCCUGCGGCGCAUUAGCUAGUUGGUAGGGUAAAGGCCUACCAAGGCGACGAUGCGUAGCCGACCUGAGAGGGUGAACGGCCACACUGGGACUGAGACACGGCCCAGACUCCUACGGGAGGCAGCAGUAGGGAAUCUUCGGCAAUGGGCGAAAGCCUGACCGAGCAACGCCGCGUGAAUGAUGAAGGCCUUCGGGUUGUAAAAUUCUGUUAUAAGGGAAGAACGACUUUAGUAGGAAAUGGCUAGAGUGUGACGGUACCUUAUGAGAAAGCCACGGCUAACUACGUGCCAGCAGCCGCGGUAAUACGUAGGUGGCGAGCGUUAUCCGGAAUUAUUGGGCGUAAAGAGCGCGCAGGUGGUUGAUUAAGUCUGAUGUG